AAGGCCCGUGUCCAUGCAGCAGGUAGAAGCUGAAACUUUUGACUUCCUGAGAGCAGCAGCACAGAUUGCAGGCUGGUUAACGGCAGCUCGACAACCAAAUAUGUCUUUUGGAUUCUGUGUGAGGGUGCUUGUUCUCUCCCUUUUGGCUUUUGGGCAAAAUGCAAAUGCGCUCAGCAGCAAAAGCGGAGGCACCAGUCGCACAAGGCCUCUCUUUGCUUAUCCAAGAAGUCAUAACCCUGCCUUUGUGCCACAAUAUGAGCGUUCGGUGCAGCCUGGAGGAUUUCUGGGUACUUCUGGAUCAAGUGAAAAUGUGAAAGUAGAUGGUUACAGUCCCGAUGGAAGUGUUUUUAGUUCCUUGCCUCGCUCACAGAUCCUUAGGAAAUUCACAAAGAUCUCUCAGCAGCCACCUCAAACUAACACUAAUGGUGUAUUGUGGACCAAAGGUGGAAACAUUGAUUUGGUCCCUCAACCAACAGGAUAUAUCAUUAAGUCUGGUAUCGCUUCAAGUAGUGCAAUUGUUAUACAAUCUGAACCUCAUCCUCGUGCUUUCAAGCCAGGCAACCAACAAAAAUGGCCCCAGACCCGGGAUCUGCCCACUUUCAAUAUGGCAUACCCGUCCAAGCCCCAGCAGCCGCGCUCUUUCAGUUCACUCUACCCUCAGAAGCCACCCAUGCCCCAGGAGUUGCUCACUUCAAAUACUGGUUAUCCUCAGAAGCAACCUAGCCCCCAGGAGCUGCCCACUUUCAAUAUGGCAUACCCGUCCAAGCCCCAGCAGCCGCGCUCUUUCAGUUCACUCUACCCUCAGAAGCCACCCAUGCCCCAGGAGUUGCUCACUUCAAAUACUGGUUAUCCUCAGAAGCAACCUAGCCCCCAGGAGCUGCCCACUUUCAAUAUGGCAUACCCGUCCAAGCCCCAGCAGCCGCGCUCUUUCAUUUUGGGCUACCCUCAGAAGCCAGCUAGGCUGCAGGAGCUGUCCACUUCCAAUAUAGCCUACCAGUCCAAGCCCCAGCAGCCACGCUCUUUCAGUUCACUCUACCCUCAGAAGCCACCCAUGCCCCAGGAGUUGCUCACUUCAAAUACUGGUUAUCCUCAGAAGCAACCUAGCCCCCAGGAGCUGCCCACUUUCAAUAUGGCAUACCCGUCCAAGCCCCAGCAGCCGCGCUCUUUCAUUUUGGGCUACCCUCAGAAGCCAGCUAGGCUGCAGGAGCUGUCCACUUCCAAUAUAGCCUACCAGUCCAAGCCCCAGCAGCCACGCUCUUUCAGUUCACUCUACCCUCAGAAGCCACCCAUGCCCCAGGAGUUGCUCACUUCAAAUACUGGUUAUCCUCAGAAGCAACCUAGCCCCCAGGAGCUGCCCACUUUCAAUAUGGCAUACCCGUCCAAGCCCCAGCAGCCGCGCUCUUUCAUUUUGGGCUACCCAUAGAAGCCAGCUAUGCCCCAGGAGCUGCCUACUUCAAAUACUGGCUACCCUCAGAAGCCACCUAGCCCCCAGGAGCUGCCCAUUUCCAAUAUGGCCUACAAGUCAAAGCCCCAGCAGCCACGCUCUUUCAGUUCAGGCUACCCUCCGAAGCCGCCUAUUUCCCAGGAGCUGCCCACUUCCAAUACUGGCUACCCUCAGAAGCCACCUAGGCCACAGGAGCUGCCCACUAUCAUAAGUGGCUACCAGUCCAAGCCCCAGCAGCCACGCACUUUCGGUACGGGCUACCCUGUGAUGCCAUCCGGUCCCCACGAGCUGCCCACUUUCAAUUCUGCCUACCUGCAGAAGUCACCAAAGCCCCAGGAGCAGCCCACCUUCAACACUGGCUACCUUCAAAAACCUCCCAGGCCACAACACUCACCUUCUUUCAGUCCUGGCUACCAACCAAAUGACCCCAAGCCCCAGGAAGGGGUGUUUCAAACCAAAGAUGGUAUGUGGGACUUGGUUUCAGGUUCUAUUGUGCAGCCGUUCAACUCAAAUGUUGCUGCAAUAAGUUUUUGACCCAUUGGCAUCUCGGGGGGGUUAAACCUGGUAGCAGCACCACAGUUCCUGAACUUAUGAAAGCAGUCUGCCCUGGCAUCAACCUUUUUUAUGAAAUUCAAUAAAGUACUUUGAACUGCACGUUCUGCCAUGAAGGGUCCUUUA
Molecule: RNA transcript, 2122 nt
Organism: Pungitius pungitius (ninespine stickleback)
Lineage: Eukaryota; Metazoa; Chordata; Actinopteri; Perciformes; Gasterosteidae
Gene name: adhesive plaque matrix protein-like
Exons: 4
Source: RefSeq, a predicted model, not a curated record